Molecule: ribosomal RNA, 146 nt
Filed under: Staphylococcus aureus
Lineage: Bacteria; Bacillati; Bacillota; Bacilli; Caryophanales; Staphylococcaceae
Description: partial 23S ribosomal RNA
Rfam family: Bacterial large subunit ribosomal RNA
Source: RNAcentral
AGAUUAAGUUAUUAAGGGCGCACGGUGGAUGCCUUGGCACUAGAAGCCGAUGAAGGACGUUACUAACGACGAUAUGCUUUGGGGAGCUGUAAGUAAGCUUUGAUCCAGAGAUUUCCGAAUGGGGAAACCCAGCAUGAGUUAUGUCA